GUAAAACAUGUUAUUUACAUGUGUGUGUAGUUGACAGGUCAAGACAAGUGAGUAAGAAUGGGUAGCCCAGCGGUCUAAGCACUCGCACUUUCAGCUUUGCUGUUUGAAAAUACAUGUCGUGGGUUCGAUUCCUGUGUGAGUCAACACUUUUGUUUUUAUUACAGUUUUUAUUACUAAUUAAGUUUUUUCGUUCGCAUGUUAAAUUUAAAGUAGUUUUAAAACCCUAAAUACAUAUGGAAAUUCUGAAUUUAAAGACUAAUUUAUGCUAAGCAUGCGAAGAAACGGCCCUAAGUAUCCCAGCCAGCAAAAAAUUCAAGUUUUUGUACGAAUAACUUAGACCGCAAGAAAGUAAGAUGUGUACAGUGUUUGUACGUUGCUUAGCGCGAUGGGACUGUGGUGCAGCGCUAGAGCGUUAGACUCCAACUCGAGAGGCCGUGGGUUCGAACCCUCGUAGAGACCCCAAAUGUUUUUCUCAAUUAUAACCGGCAGUUAUACAAGUCUGCUGCCUCCUGCCCCCAAUGGCAUCAUCCGAUAUAGCAACAAUUCAACAAAUAAAUUAUCUGAAACGA
Drosophila takahashii is the source of this 569-nucleotide non-coding RNA. NCBI's taxonomy places the organism in Eukaryota, Metazoa, Arthropoda, Insecta, Diptera, Drosophilidae. The record is from RefSeq and is a predicted model, not a curated record.